AUCAAUACACAAAAGAUGAUUGUUGCGGCUACUAUGACACUACACAACUACAUCCGCCUCCAUGACAAGGAGGAUCUCCACUUUCUUCGGUGUGGUGAGAGGGAUCCGGAUUAUGUUCCAACUAUUCCAGAAAGAUACAAGAGAUACGUUAUUCCUCCAAAUGCAUCGGAUGCUUCAACAUCGGCGGAAAGUGCUCUUAACAUGAAUUUGUUUAGGCAUGAACUAGCUACCGCCAUUGCUCUUAGUUCGUGA
Molecule: ribosomal RNA, 252 nt
Filed under: Triticum aestivum (bread wheat)
Lineage: Eukaryota; Viridiplantae; Streptophyta; Magnoliopsida; Poales; Poaceae
Description: partial small subunit ribosomal RNA
Source: RNAcentral